Cercocebus atys (sooty mangabey) is the source of this 4205-nucleotide long non-coding RNA. RefSeq lists it as uncharacterized. NCBI's taxonomy places the organism in Eukaryota, Metazoa, Chordata, Mammalia, Primates, Cercopithecidae. The record is from RefSeq and is a predicted model, not a curated record. The transcript has 2 exons.
AGAAAAGAGGGGAUCUGAUGAUAAAAAAAGUAGUGUGAAGUCCGGUAGUCGAGAAAAGCAGAGUGAAGACACAAACACUGAAUCGAAGGAAAGUGAUACUAAGAAUGAGGUCAAUGGGACCAGUGAAGACAUUAAAUCUGAAGGUGACACUCAGUCCAAUUAAAACUGAUCUGAUAAGACCUCAGAUCAGACAGAGGACUACUGUUCGAAGAUUUUUGGAAGAAUACUGAGAACGGCAUAAAGUGAAGAUCGACAUUUAAAAAAUGAGGUGAAAGAAAGCUAUAGUGGCAUAGAAAAAGUAUAAAGCUCAGUUAGUUUUUUAAUUAUUAUUAUUAUUAAAAGUUAAUUCAGGACUGAUGUGACCUACCAGAUUUCAGAACAUGUGUUAAUAGUAUAUAUGCCACUGAAAACUUAGGUCCUGUAUCAUACUUUUUUCUUUAAGACUUUUUAAGAAAUAUUACUUAAACAUGUGGCUUGCUCAGUGUUUAAUUGCAAGUUUUCAUUCUUGGACUUUGAAAACAGGAUUAAACGUUAGUAUUCGUGUGAAUCAGACUAAGUGGGAUUUCAUUUUUACAACUCUGCUCUACUUAGCCUUUGGAUUUAGAAGUAAAAAUAAAGUAUAUCUGACUUUCUGUUACAAAGUUGAUUGUCUCUGUCAUUGAAAGGUUUUAGUAUUAAUCUUUUUCUAAUAAAGUUAUUGACUCUGAACUAGUCCCCUGUUUUAAAUACAAGAGUUACACUAUCACUAGAGGUGUUGGUGUACAGUUUUAUCUAAUUUGUUCUGUUUAAGACUAAUUUUUAUAGAGUUUCUAAUGUUUUAAAUAAUGGUGCUUCAAUUUUAGGUGGUUAUGAAUAAAUUUGAAUUUUGCUUUUAAUAGCAAAGAUGUACAGUGAACUAGAAUAUAUUUUUACAUCCCUGAGAAAUUCCUUUAGUAGAAAAUUCCAAGUAUCCUUCUGACAAGCACUCUUUAGCUAGCUAGCUAUGAAAUAAUGAUGUAGAAAAGCUUUCAAGUGCUAGUUUUUGUUAAGUCCUGUAUCAAGAUUUCUUCUCACCCGGUCGUGUCAGUUUAUAAAUGUACUUGUGUAUAGGGUGUGUAGUAUAUAUGGCAAGGGUUCCCCCCCCCCCAAAAUGAUUAUUUUUGUGUCACAUCUAGGAAAACUGGCAGCAUGUUUCUAUCUAUAGCCAGCUUCUUCAACUGUAUAAAAGUAUUCUCUCCAGCUACGUAUAUACACACGCACAUAUAUAUCAUAGCAAUUCCUUGUGGUUUAUAACUUUCAAAUACUGCUAUCAGUUUAUAGGUAAAGAAACUGAGUGUGUUAAAUGAUGUACCCAGGGAGGGUCUUGUGGCUUCAUGUUUAUGGAUUUGCUAGGUCUCUGUCUCAUGGUCCACUGCCUAACUGUUAAGACAGUGUGUUGAUUCUAAUAGGCAUGAUGAAUUGUUAAAAGAAUUUACUAAAAUGUCUUCCACCAAACUUUGAAAAAUAAUGAAGCCCCCACUUUAGAGGCUCUGUUGGAAACAAUGCUGUGGAGACAGAGCCCUCCUGGCUCCCUAGCUGAUCCUGGAGAUGCAGCAGUAGAUGAGUGGGUUAUCUCUGAAUUUGUAAGAGAUGAUUCCCAUGAGGAUUAAGAUAAAAUGGGAAGUAAAAUCUAACAAACACAAAGAUAGCUCCCAGGCACUGCUUUGUGUAGUUUGACAAGAUUGUGGUUGUAGUAGCAAAGGACUUAAAAUGAUAGUUUUUAAACCAUAUUCUGUCCCUAAGUAUUAAAAAAUCUAGGAAGUUAUUAAAAUACAAGAUUUGUUCUGCUCUGUCUCCUCUAGAAUCAGCAUCUAACUUAAAUGAAGUAUAAUCAAUGAGCUCAUAUGAAAAGGCUUCCUCUAUGGACACUUAGAUCUAUUAUAACAAUUGAAGUUACCUGGGAUUUGGGGGCGGUGGGAGGAGGACCUGCCUCCUCAGGGCAGCUAUGACUAAGACCUGGCUUUAGUAUGGAGAGAGACCUAGAAGUUGAAUUUUAUACCCAAAAUUGAUGUGGCUGAAGAGGAACUGAUUCUUGGUAACCAUCUCUUAAGAAUCCAGUAUUGAGACCAGUUCAGUAGAAGAAACAAACAUUUCUGCCUUGCAGACCAAAAAGUUAUUAGUUGGGGAAUAUAUUUUUUCUCUUUGGAAAGUCUUUAAGGGGAGCAAACCAGUUUUAAUCAGAUUGCUUGGGAAGUUUGAAAUCUGUAAUCAGUUGGUCUUAAAGAAAAACCAACAACUUUAUUUUGGAAAUUUAAAGACAUGCACAAAAGAGGAACAAUAUAAUUAACCUCUAUUAACUCAUCACCAACAAGACUCAUGACCACUCUUAUGCUUCAUGAGUGAUUGUAUUUGUAUCCACUGUCCCCUAUUAUUUUUGAGCAAGUCUCAGACACACCAUUUAAUCUGUAAAUAAUUCAACAUGUAACUCUAAAAGACAAAGACCUCUUAAAUAACAGUUCAUUAGUAUAAAACAAAUUGGGUAAACUUUUGUCAGUCAUCAAACUAUAUAGCACUGGUCCAAUAGUUUAAUUUCCAUUGAGCCUUUCAAGAGCACCGACCAGUCUGCUGUUCAAGACAUCCUCUCCUCUGGAAUGUAGAGAUGAUACAUAUCAUGCUUCUUUUUGUUAAAACACUUUUUUUCCCCUUCAAACACAGUCCAGUCAUUUUUCAGUUUGGGUUGAAACAUCCUUCUUGUUUUCUUGAUCUUGAGCUUAUAAUAACCUAGUCAUACUGCUCAGCUCAGAUAUUUUUACCCCCUCUCCUUAGGCAUUCUGGUUCCUUAAAUAUAGUUAGUGUCACAGAGGAUAAUCAGCCUUAUUUCCGAGGUCUGAGAACACUUGGACCACAUUGGUUGAGCUCAGCCACCUUCUGAUUGAAGUUUUCAGAGUUGUAAGAACUGAACAUUUUUAUGGUGGAAGUUCUCUGAGCCCUCAUCCAUUCUGUUUUUAAAAAUGCAUUGCCGAUGGGCUAUGUGAAUAUGUUUUUAAACAUGUUAUGUGCAUGAAACAUAAAACACCUGAAGUUAUUAUUAUGUAUACAAUUCUGUGGGAUGGGACUUCAUUCAGGGUUAGUUUUCAAGUUUAAUUUCCUGAGGGAUUUUUUAGUUGUUUGUGAAAGAACCCCAGGUCUACUUUUGAAAUUUUGUAUUAUAAUUGUAAUGUUGCCCAUGGUUAAAAAAAAAAAAGUGUUUAGUGAUCUGUCUCCUAUUACUCCUAUCCCUCUGUUUUUCCUCUGCAGGAGCUUGCUGCUGUUAACAGUUAUUCUUCCAAGUAGUUUCUUUGUGGGGAGAUGGGAGGUGGGAGAAAAUAUAAACAUUUAUGUAUAGAUCUUUCAAAAUAUAUGACGGUAUACACAUAUCUUCUGAGUCUUGCUGUUUUUACCUGGUAAUAUUUAGAAACAUUUAUUUUGAGAUAAAGGAGACAGCACUUUUAAGUUGAACCUGUAGUUUUAAAAAGUACAUUUCAAGUAAGCCAAAGCAGAGAAGUAAAUGUAUUUUUCAUUGUUGUAUCAGAAUUUUGAAUUUACUAUUUUAAAAAUUCAAGAGUUUUGUAGCUGAUCUAUUUCCUCCCCUCAGCCAUCCCAAAUAGGUCAUUUGUCAACAGAUUUAAGAAUGUUUAGGAACAACAACUUUGGGAAACGGGAAACAAUUUGGCAUAAGUGGGUGUGCCAUAACCUCUCAUAGCCAUUCACUCUUGGAUACAUACCCUAGAGAAGCUCUUACACAUGUGUACCAGGGGAUGGAUUUAAGCAUUGCGUGUAAUAGGAAGAAAAGAAGAAAAAACCUGGGAAGACCCUAAGUGUCCACCAACAGUGCGUUGGAUAAAUACUGUGGGUAUAUUCCAACAGUGGAAUUCCACAGAAGUGAAAUUGAACUGCAGCUCUGUAUGUGAACAUGGACAAAACUCAACAACAGAAGGAUCAAAAAAAAGCAAGUCAGAAGAAUACAUCACUGGUUCCAUUUCGAUGAAAGUCAAAAACAGGCUGUCAAAUACAUGAUAAAAGGAAACGAUUAAGACAACAUUCAAUGUUAGCCGUUCUGACGGAGGGAGAGGUGAUCAUGAGGGCAGAGAGGGGUCUUCAGAGGAACUGGCGAGGGUCUGUUUCUGAAGCCCUGUGGGCAUUUUCUUUUUUAAGCUGUAUGUUUAUGUGCUUUUGUAUGUACGAUAUUUCUUAAUAAAAUUUAAAAA